GACGAACGCUGGCGGCGUGCUUAAUACAUGCAAGUCGAACGGAAAGGCCCUGCUUUUGUGGGGUGCUCGAGUGGCGAACGGGUGAGUAACACGUGAGUAACCUGCCCCUGACUUUGGGAUAACUUCAGGAAACUGGGGCUAAUACCGGAUAGGAGCUCCUGCUGCAUGGUGGGGGUUGGAAAGUUUCGGCGGUUGGGGAUGGACUCGCGGCUUAUCAGCUUGUUGGUGGGGUAGUGGCUUACCAAGGCUUUGACGGGUAGCCGGCCUGAGAGGGUGACCGGCCACAUUGGGACUGAGAUACGGCCCAGACUCCUACGGGAGGCAGCAGUGGGGAGUAUUGCACAAUGGGCGGAAGCCUGAUGCAGCAACGCCGCGUGCGGGAUGACGGCCUUCGGGUUGUAAACCGCUUUCGCCUGUGACGAAGCGUGAGUGACGGUAAUGGGUAAAGAAGCACCGGCUAACUACGUG
This 468-nucleotide ribosomal RNA is filed under the name uncultured bacterium. RNAcentral's name for it is "partial 16S ribosomal RNA". It matches the Rfam family "Bacterial small subunit ribosomal RNA", at positions 28 to 507 of the family's 1533-position model. The record is from RNAcentral.